AUUGAACGCUGGCGGCAGGCCUAACACAUGCAAGUCGAGCGGAUGAAGGGAGCUUGCUCCUGGAUUCAGCGGCGGACGGGUGAGUAAUGCCUAGGAAUCUGCCUGGUAGUGGGGGAUAACGUCCGGAAACGGGCGCUAAUACCGCAUACGUCCUGAGGGAGAAAGUGGGGGAUCUUCGGACCUCACGCUAUCAGAUGAGCCUAGGUCGGAUUAGCUAGUUGGUGGGGUAAAGGCCUACCAAGGCGACGAUCCGUAACUGGUCUGAGAGGAUGAUCAGUCACACUGGAACUGAGACACGGUCCAGACUCCUACGGGAGGCAGCAGUGGGGAAUAUUGGACAAUGGGCGAAAGCCUGAUCCAGCCAUGCCGCGUGUGUGAAGAAGGUCUUCGGAUUGUAAAGCACUUUUGGUUGGGAAGAAGGGCAGUAAGUUAAUACCUCGCUGUUUUGACGUUACCAAAAGAAUAAGCACCGGCUAACUUCGUG
Molecule: ribosomal RNA, 484 nt
Filed under: uncultured bacterium
Lineage: Bacteria
Description: partial 16S ribosomal RNA
Rfam family: Bacterial small subunit ribosomal RNA
Source: RNAcentral